UACGGAGGGUGCAAGCGUUGUCCGGAAUCAUUGGGUGUAAAGGGUGCGCAGGCGGGCGCCUAAGUCGGAGGUGAAAUCUUGCCGCUUAACGGUAAAAUGGCCCCCGAUACUGGGCGUCUUGAAUCUGACAGAGGUCGGUGGAAUUCGUGGUGUAGCGGUGAAAUGCGUAGAGAUCGGGAGGAAUACCAGUGGCGAAGGCGGCUUUCUGGUCUGUAUCUGGCGCUGAGGCACGAAAGCGUUGGGAGCGAACAGG
Molecule: unclassified non-coding RNA, 253 nt
Filed under: uncultured Bacteroidota bacterium
Lineage: Bacteria; Pseudomonadati; Bacteroidota
Description: uncultured Bacteroidetes bacterium contains 16S-23S intergenic spacer region
Rfam family: Bacterial small subunit ribosomal RNA
Source: RNAcentral